ACAGGAUAGUAAGAAGAGAAACCCACCCCCUUUCUCCUCCUUGUAUCCACAUGCGUUUCUCAUCAUGCUAUGCAAGACAGAGGCAAAUACGAUCCACCACCACUAAAUACCGUUCAACAGGAAAAAGUUAUUAACAUUUCAUGGCUUCCAAUCCUUCGCUUCAAUUUGGAUUUCAAGGCACCACAGAACCAAAUCCUUGCACUGUGGAAUCCCCGGCUACGCUUUUAAUCAAACACCUUCCAGACGCUAUUCCUCAUGAUACCCUUUCUCGCCUCUUGUCUCAUUACGGUGCUUCCUCUGUUCGCCCUUGCUCUGCUGGAAGGUUGAGAAAUUGUGCUUUCGUGGAUUUCAAAAAUGAUAUGCUGGCAUCUCAAGCACAACGUCAACUAAAUGGGUUGAAAUUUCUUGGUAAAGUCUUGUCAGCAGAGAGAGCCGGUAAACCAAAUGAGAAUGUGGGAAAAAGCAGUGGAGCUCAGCUGGGAAAAGACUCUAAAACAUCAGCAGUGAGGAGUGAAGAUGUUAUCAAACCUAUUGAUGGAGAAGCAAAAUCAGGAGGCUUCCCUAUUCCCGAGCCAAUUGCCCACAGAAUUGGUGUUGAUUAUCCAUUUCCUCCUCAUCUUGAGUAUGCUUAUCCUCCACCAGAUGGCAAUAUACUGACCAACAUCGUGAAUGCUCUAAUUGCCGUUCCUCGCUUUUACACUCAGGUUCUACACUUGAUGAACAAAAUGAACAUUCCGGCUCCCUUUCGUAUGGCACUACCCACGCCACCAUUACCUCCAGAGGUGCCAGCCCCACUCCCACCCGUGCCUCCUCCUCAUUCUGUAACUGCAAUGCCUCGCUCUGCAAAUAUGUCAAGUGAUGAAUCAGAAAUGGAAUCUUCAGAUGAGGAGGGUGGAGCAAGAACAGGAAAUCAUGGACGAAAGCGUGCCAGGCGUGGGGCUAUUGUUGGCCCUGCUAUUGAUAAAGAUGUGGCUCAUGAGUCUGUUGGAGUAAAACCUGCCACCUUGAUCCCGAAAGAAAUCCCGAUGAUAAAAAAGAACCUCGUCUUAAAGAUCAAUAUUGCUCCCAAAGCAACGCUGAAUGAACAUAAGGAUAAUGCCACAGGAAUAGAGUUACAAGAGACAGAAAAAGAUACUCUAGAUCCGAACAAAUUUUUGACUCCUGAUGAACUAGAGAGAGGAAAGUUGCCUCCGGAGGAGAUCUUGUCUCUUCCAAAGUUUAAGAACUAUACACCGGGAAAUCCUGCUUCUGUGUUGUAUAUUAAGAAUUUGGCCAAAGAUGUGGUUGCUGAUGAUUUCUAUCUUUUAUUUGGAUCCUUCUUUGGAAGUACUGAUGCUGCUAAGUCUGGUCUUCAAGUCAAACUGAUGCAGGAAGGAAGGAUGAAGGGUCAAGCUUUUUUAACAUUCCCCUCCACAGAACUGGCUCAUCAAGCUCUGGUUUUUUUCGCCAUUGUAUGCUAAAUAAAAAAAUCAGUAGUCAUGGUACUAGCUAUUUUGGAGAUCGUAACAAACAUCAUCAUAAUUUAGUGAAUGGAUAUAAAUUCAAAGGGAAGCCAAUGAUAAUUCAGUUUGGCCGGAAUCCUGCUGCUGCCAAGGCAACUUAAAUCUAUGGACACAGAAAAGAUGUUUUCCAUAUUGUGCUUUAAAAGCUCCGUUGCUUAUUGCUUGAUUACAUGCAUGACUACAGAUGGCUAAUGAUGCAUUCUUCAUUCAAUGACCGGGUUCUCCCCGAUAGACCUAGACCAUGGCUACGUAUGUACAUUAUCCUCGGUUGUGUAGUGACAAGCUGAGAUAUAAAACUAGUCUGCAUAGGAAUCUAGAAUUCAAACCAGAUUGUUAGCAAGAGAGGUUGAAAAUGCAAACCAAGCUUAUUUAUUACAAAGGAAGUUUUGCUGUUGCUGUAGACUGUCUUUGUUGGAAACCAAAAAAUAGAUUAACUUUAUCAUACAAGGAUGGUGAUCCUCUUUGAUAUCAAGCGUACAGAAAAUAUAGAGUGGCACUUGGUUCAUUUUCUGCUGUAUUACUAAACAAUAUAGGGAACUUUUCCUCAAAAAUUAUGUAGGGAACUUGGCUACAGUUAAGGAUCUGAUAGCAAUGUGAACCAUGAAGCAGCACCUUAUCUGUCGAUUUCACCGUUUUUCUUUAUUUCCCAUCUUGGGCAUAGAUAUGGGUUUACAUAUUUAAUAUUUAUUUAUCAUACAAGUCAUUGGACCUAUGCUAUUUAUAACUCUUUUCUGUAGAAAUAUUUGGUGGCUUGUAUCUUUUUCCUUCUUAUUUUUAAGGAAUUAUCAGUUGUAUUUUUUAUUUGUAAAAGCUCUUUCAAAAUGUUUA
Molecule: RNA transcript, 2330 nt
Organism: Medicago truncatula (barrel medic)
Lineage: Eukaryota; Viridiplantae; Streptophyta; Magnoliopsida; Fabales; Fabaceae
Gene name: U11/U12 small nuclear ribonucleoprotein 65 kDa protein
Exons: 12
Source: RefSeq, a predicted model, not a curated record